UUUCUGCGGCUGUGCGCGUUUUUCGCUGCACGCCGUAUGAAACCCAUCCUCACACCUGUGAACGCAUUCGGGGGUCGCCGCGAGGCGCUUCCGCCUACAACUUAUAACUACUUAUGUUCAGAAUGUUUAAAACUAUAACAAGUAACAACUUUCAACAACGGAUCUCUUGGCUCUCGCAUCGAUGAAGAACGCAGCGAAAUGCGAUAAGUAAUGUGAAUUGCAGAAUUCAGUGAAUCAUCGAAUCUUUGAACGCAUCUUGCGCUCUGUGGUAUUCCGCAGAGCAUGCCUGUUUGAGUGUCACGUAAACCAUCGCCCUUGGGAUUUCGAUCUCUCGAGGUGGACUUGGACUGUGCCGUAGCCGGCUCGUCUUGAAAUGCAUUAGCUUGUACUCUUUAGAGUGCCGGGCACCGGUGUGAUAAUUAUCUGCGCCAACGCCCAGUUGCCUCUUCUUGCGGUGCUGCUUAUAAUCGUCCGUUCCGGACAGAUCUUUACUAAAGCUUUGGCCUCAAA
RNAcentral lists this ribosomal RNA (510 nucleotides) under Elmerina borneensis. RNAcentral describes it as "eukaryotic LSU rRNA". The stretch from base 147 to 300 matches the Rfam family "5.8S ribosomal RNA". The record is from RNAcentral. Lineage: Eukaryota; Fungi; Basidiomycota; Agaricomycetes; Auriculariales; Aporpiaceae.